RNAcentral lists this ribosomal RNA (340 nucleotides) under uncultured bacterium. RNAcentral describes it as "bacterial SSU rRNA". It matches the Rfam family "Bacterial small subunit ribosomal RNA", at positions 18 to 367 of the family's 1533-position model. The record is from RNAcentral.
CAUGGCUCAGAACGAACGCUGGCGGCGUGGAUAAGACAUGCAAGUCGAACGAGAGAAUUGCUAGCUUGCUAAUAAUUCCCUAGUGGCGCACGGGUGAGUAACACGUGAGUAACCUGCCCCCGAGAGCGGGAUAGCCCUGGGAAACUGGGAUUAAUACCGCAUAGAAUCGCAAGAUUAAAGCGGCAAUGCGCUUGGGGAUGGGCUCGCGGCCUAUUAGUUAGUUGGUGAGGUAACGGCUCACCAAGGCGAUGACGGGUAGCCGGUCUGAGAGGAUGUCCGGCCACACUGGAACUGAGACACGGUCCAGACACCUACGGGUGGCAGCAGUCGAGAAUCAUUC